RNAcentral lists this long non-coding RNA (422 nucleotides) under Androctonus crassicauda. Lineage: Eukaryota; Metazoa; Arthropoda; Arachnida; Scorpiones; Buthidae. The record is from RNAcentral.
CACAAACAGACGAAUGGAUAUCUUUUGUUUGAAAAAUCUCGCGAGAUUACGUCUCGCGCUCAACCAGCGUCGAUCGUCGACUGCUUUCGGUCAUAAUUUGGGUUGAUGAAGAAGGUAGACAUCUUUGAAAUAGGCCCAUAAGUGAAUGGUAUAGUUAACUUACAAACUGUGAUUAAUUUGAGUUAAACUUUAAAUAUGCCACCAAAGAAAAGAAAAGUAGAUGACGACGACGACGAUGAUGAUUUAGACGAUUUUAAACGCGAAAAAUUAAGCGAUGAUGAUGACAUUACUCCACCCAACAACAACAAAGAAGUUGAUGAGGAUGAUGGACAAGAAGGAACGUCUGAUGAAUCAAAGAAACAAUUUAAGGAUAUGUGGUUUCUUCAAGACGGAGCACCAGCACAUAAUGGUGGCUGUGUUGU